This 398-nucleotide long non-coding RNA is filed under the name Elaeis guineensis (African oil palm). Its description in RNAcentral is "long non-coding RNA (EGUI_LNC023353)". Lineage: Eukaryota; Viridiplantae; Streptophyta; Magnoliopsida; Arecales; Arecaceae. The record is from RNAcentral.
GGUGAUCGAAUCCUCAUCAUUCUCAUCAAGUUCAAUGGAAUCACCAUCUCAGAUCAAAAAAUUGUAGCAUCUGUCCGACUGACGUGGUACUCUAUUGGAUCUUUUUAAUGAUGCCUCUACUAGCUCUAGAUUCGAUUCACUAAUCGAAUCCAAUUCUGUAUGUAUCAGUCCUUCCAUCUCAUGAACUUCAUUUAGUUCAAUUUUACAGGUAUUAGCUCAUUCACCAAAGAACUCCUUUUCCAAAAAGAUUGUCCGACUGCUGACAAACACUUUUUAUUCUGCAGCGAGGUAGAAGUAGUACCCUUUAAUUUUCUUUGGAUACCCUACAAAUAAGCAUCUAUUGGACUUCAAUCCAAGCUUAUCUGUCUUUAAAUGUUUGACAUAAGCUGGAAGCCCCC